RNAcentral lists this ribosomal RNA (435 nucleotides) under uncultured bacterium. Its description in RNAcentral is "partial 16S ribosomal RNA". It matches the Rfam family "Bacterial small subunit ribosomal RNA", at positions 28 to 507 of the family's 1533-position model. The record is from RNAcentral.
GAUGAACGCUGGCGGUAUGCUUAACACAUGCAAGUCGAACGGACUCUUCGGAGUUAGUGGCGGACGGGGUAGUAACGCGUGAGAAUCUUGCUUUGUGGUCGGGACAACCACUGGAAACGGUUGCUAAUACCGAAUGUGCCGAAAGGUCAAAGAGAAAUUGCCUGAAGAUGAGCUCGCGUCUGAGUAGCUAGUUGGUGAGGUAAAGGCUCACCAAGGCAGCGAUCAGUAGCAGGUCUGAGAGGAUGACCAGCCACACUGGGACUGAGACACGGCCCAGACUCCUACGCGAGGAAGCAGUGGGGACUUUUCCGGAAAGGGCGCAAGACUGACGGAGGAAUACGGCGUGGGGGAAGCAGGCUUUUGGGAUGAACAACUCUUUACUUAACUAAGAACAACAUGACGGUACCUAAGGAAUAAGCCUCGGCUAACUCCGUG